CCUGCUUCUUAAAAGUGAACUUAUAAGGAGAUGAUGCUAUUCUCUCCCCAAACAGCACUUGCCCAAGAUUUUCUGAUGGUCUUUUCUCUUCCUUAUCUUGACAGAAGUCAAAGGCGUCAUACUCAUAGGGCAGAACUGAUUCAACUGAGUCCAGUCUGUUCACAAAGAGUUCAAUCAGCGACUUGCAGCCCUCGCUCUCCUUGUCGUCGUCACAGAAGCUGACGGGCGCCAAGCCGGGCAGGUAGAAAGCGGCACAAAGGGGAGCCAGCAGCAGGAGGCCGGCCGCCAGCAGCCUCAUCUUCCAGCCUGGAGGAGCGAAGGCAGCAUGAGCCGAUGCGACAGCUCCCGCUUCCC
Molecule: long non-coding RNA, 354 nt
Filed under: Gallus gallus (chicken)
Lineage: Eukaryota; Metazoa; Chordata; Aves; Galliformes; Phasianidae
Source: RNAcentral